RNAcentral lists this ribosomal RNA (497 nucleotides) under uncultured bacterium. RNAcentral's name for it is "partial 16S ribosomal RNA". It matches the Rfam family "Bacterial small subunit ribosomal RNA", at positions 28 to 507 of the family's 1533-position model. The record is from RNAcentral.
GAUGAACGCUGGCGGCGUGCCUAAUACAUGCAAGUCGAGCGAACGGACGAGAAGCUUGCUUUUCUGAUGUUAGCGGCGGACGGGUGAGUAACACGUGGAUAACCUACCUAUAAGACUGGGAUAACUUCGGGAAACCGGAGCUAAUACCGGAUAAUAUUUUGAACCGCAUGGUUCAAAAGUGAAAGACGGUCUUGCUGUCACUUAUAGAUGGAUCCGCGCUGCAUUAGCUAGUUGGUAAGGUAACGGCUUACCAAGGCAACGAUGCAUAGCCGACCUGAGAGGGUGAUCGGCCACACUGGAACUGAGACACGGUCCAGACUCCUACGGGAGGCAGCAGUAGGGAAUCUUCCGCAAAGGGCGAAAGCCCGACGGAGCAACGCCGCGUGAGUGAUGAAGGUCUUCGGAUCGUAAAACUCUGUUAUUAGGGAAGAACAUAUGUGUAAGUAACUGUGCACAUCUUGACGGUACCUAAUCAGAAAGCCACGGCUAACUACGUG